CUUUGAAGAACUGCCAGUAAACACAGACGACAGACAACCUCAGAGCAGGAGGCUUUGGCUGUGGGGGACAGCUGUGAGCAUGGCAGUGGUUAGCUCCCUGUGGGCAGUUGUGGUCACCACCUGCCUAGGAGCCAGCGUGGCCCAGACAGUCACUCAGCAUCAGCAGGAACAGUCUCUGCUGGAGACAGAGUCAGCAACACUGGGCUGCACCUACGACACGACUGAUACUAACUACAACUUGUUCUGGUACAAACAGCGAAGAGGGCAGAUGACUCUCGUUAUUCGCCAAGAAGCUUAUAAGCAGCAGAAUGCAACAGAGGACCGCUUCUCCGUGAACUUCCAGAAAGCAGCUAAGUCCUUCAGCCUCGAGAUCUCAGACUUGCAGCUGGAGGAUGCUGCGACGUAUUUCUGUGCACUCAUGGAGAGGGGCACAGUGACACAGGCAACGGACAGGGCCUGA
Non-coding RNA from Peromyscus leucopus (white-footed mouse), 460 nucleotides. The record is from the annotation of a RefSeq genome assembly. Lineage: Eukaryota; Metazoa; Chordata; Mammalia; Rodentia; Cricetidae.